Molecule: ribosomal RNA, 847 nt
Filed under: Streptomyces sp.
Lineage: Bacteria; Bacillati; Actinomycetota; Actinomycetes; Kitasatosporales; Streptomycetaceae
Description: bacterial SSU rRNA
Rfam family: Bacterial small subunit ribosomal RNA
Source: RNAcentral
GCUCGUAGAGUUUGACCUGGCUCAGCCACUUCUGUGGGGAUUCCUGGCGAACGAGGUGAGUAACACGUGGGCAAUCUGCCCUGCACUCUGGGACAAGCCCUGGAAACGGGGUCUAAUACCGGAUACGAGUCUCCAAGGCAUCUUGGGGACUGUAAAGCUCCGGCGGUGCAGGAUGAGCCCGCGGCCUAUCAGCUUGUUGGUGAGGUAGUGGCUCACCAAGGCGACGACGGGUAGCCGGCCUGAGAGGGCGACCGGCCACACUGGGACUGAGACACGGCCCAGACUCCUACGGGAGGCAGCAGUGGGGAAUAUUGCACAAUGGGCGAAAGCCUGAUGCAGCGACGCCGCGUGAGGGAUGACGGCCUUCGGGUUGUAAACCUCUUUCAGCAGGGAAGAAGCGAAAGUGACGGUACCUGCAGAAGAAGCGCCGGCUAACUACGUGCCAGCAGCCGCGGUAAUACGUAGGGCGCAAGCGUUGUCCGGAAUUAUUGGGCGUAAAGAGCUCGUAGGCGGCUUGUCACGUCGGUUGUGAAAGCCCGGGGCUUAACCCCGGGUCUGCAGUCGAUACGGGCAGGCUAGAGUUCGGUAGGGGAGAUCGGAAUUCCUGGUGUAGCGGUGAAAUGCGCAGAUAUCAGGAGGAACACCGGUGGCGAAGGCGGAUCUCUGGGCCGAUACUGACGCUGAGGAGCGAAAGCGUGGGGAGCGAACAGGGAUAGAUACCCUGGUAGUCCACGCCGUAAACGGUGGGCACUAGGUGUGGGCGACUUUCACGUCUUCCGUGCCGCAGCUAACGCCAUUAAAUGCCCCGCCUGGGAGUACGGCCGCAAGGCUAAAACUCAAAAGAAUU